UUUUGGAUAGCUCAAUUGGUAGAGCAUCGGAACCUUAAUCCGAAUGUUGCGGGUUCGAUUCCCGCUCCGAAAACCA
This 76-nucleotide transfer RNA is filed under the name Xanthomonas sp. AM6. RNAcentral's name for it is "tRNA-Lys". It matches the Rfam family "tRNA". Rfam says of the family: Transfer RNA (tRNA) molecules are approximately 80 nucleotides in length. The record is from RNAcentral. Lineage: Bacteria; Pseudomonadati; Pseudomonadota; Gammaproteobacteria; Lysobacterales; Lysobacteraceae.